UACACAUUAAGUAUUAAUGUACACUUGACUUCCAAUCAAGAAGGCCAUAACUGGAAUGUGUAA
RNAcentral lists this transfer RNA (63 nucleotides) under Occasjapyx japonicus. Its description in RNAcentral is "tRNA-Gly". Lineage: Eukaryota; Metazoa; Arthropoda; Diplura; Dicellurata; Japygidae. The record is from RNAcentral.